This is a long non-coding RNA of Setaria italica (foxtail millet), 2156 nucleotides long. RefSeq lists it as uncharacterized. The record is from RefSeq and is a predicted model, not a curated record. The transcript has 3 exons. NCBI's taxonomy places the organism in Eukaryota, Viridiplantae, Streptophyta, Magnoliopsida, Poales, Poaceae.
GCUUCUCUUCAACCCGCCGUCGUCGUUCGUCUCACAGCAGCCAUCACCCACCGGCCACCACCGGCUUGCCCGCAGCUCGCCGGCAAGAUCCUCCGACGCUUGAUUAGGCGACCAGCUGCAACCCACCCCGUAAGAAUAUAAACCCUGGAGAGGAUCCAACUCCAACCGCGCGACGAUGCCGUCGGCAUCGGGUCCCGUAGCCAUGGCAGCGGCGGCGAAGCCCGCCCCCGACGCCGGCCCGGAUGUCGGGAUAUUGCCGGGGCUAUACCCGUCGGAAGACGACCUUCGGAGGAAUCCACAUAAUUUGGAGGGGCAAGGAGGGUGAAGCUUUUUGAGAAGGAUCCUGCAAGGCAAGUAACCACAUAUGUUGAGGCUGUGAAAACUUUGGAGUGUGUGGACCCAAUGAAGGCACUUGGGAAGCCCCAUACUCUAUAUGGGUGUCAUUUACAAAGAUGUAUGGGAAACAUAACCGUGUAGAUAGUGCUGAAGGCUCCUCCAGAUGAAAAGAAGGCCUUAUAUUUACAAUGGGCUAAACUUGAGGAAGACUACGCCGUUGCUAACGUGCCAUGAAUAUAUAUGAUGUAUCUGUAAGGGUAGCUUCUAACAGUGAAAAAAUUCUGUUCUCUCCAGUUUACCAAUGUUUAUGAUGUCCUUUUUUAGAAUACCUAAAGGAGUUCUGAAAACACUGGACUAUUAUAGAUCUAGAUUUUUCUGGCAAAGUGAUGAACACAAAAAGAAAUAUAGUUGGCCAAAUGGAGUAUCCUCUGUGCACCAAAAAAUGUAGGAGGUUUGGGUAUAUCCAAUCUGGAAGUUCUAAAUAGAUGCUUGCUAAGCAAGUGGUUAUUUAAACUUCUAAAUGAGGAUGGAGUAUGGCAAAAGCUUCUUAGAAGAAAAUAUCUAGUGAACAAGGCCCUAUCUCAAGUGACAAGGAAAAGGGGGGAUUCACAUUUUUGGGCUGGCCUCAUAGAAAUAAAAGACCAAUUCUUGUCAAUGGGUACUUUUGAGGUACACAAUGGGAAAAAGGCCAGAUUUUGGGAAGAUGUUUGGAUUGGAAAGGUAACAUUGAGGGAAAGAUAUACAUCUUUGUAUAAUAUAGCCAGAAGGAAGGAUGAUACUGUGGCCAAAAUUUGUGGAUCAGUCCCUUUGAGUGUCUCUUUUAGAAGAGCAUUAACAGGUCAUAGAUUAAAUAAAUGGCUAGAAUUAGUGACAGAGAUUGCUACUCACGGUAUAGAUGAACAGGAGGACAAAUUUAUAUGGAAUCUGAAUAAAAACAAAGUUCACAGUAAAAUUAAUGUACAUGAAGAUAAUGCAAGCUGAAGGAGUACCAUCCAUGUGUGUGACUUGGAAACUUAAACUACCACUAAAAAUCAAAAUCUUCUUAUGGUAUUUGAAAAAAAGGUGUGAUUCUAACAAAGGAUAACCUUGCUAAGAGGAGAUGGCAAGGAAGCACCAUGUGUUGCUUUUGUAAUUCAGAAGAGACAAUGCAACACCUCUUCUUUGAUUGUCAUCUUGCCAGAUUUCUUUUCGUUUGGAAUUCAACCGCCUGUUAGUGUCUCUAACUUGCUGGGUUCUUGGACUAGAGUAUAUCCUCGAAAAAUUAGGAACCAGAUGAUUAUAGGAGCUACUGCACUUUGCUGGGCGUUAUGGUUGAAUAUAAACGAUUUACUGUUCAAAGGCACGAUCACUAACUCCUUUUUGCAGGUAAUCUUUAGAGGGACACAUUGGACAAGAACAUGGGCAGUGCUAUCAAAGGAGGAAGAGAAAAUUGAUCUAAAGAAAAAUUGCAGCAGGUUUGAAGUAACUGCUAUGGAGUUCUUCAACAAGUAUGGCUGGAACUUUAGGAGGCGAAUUCUUCAAUAGCUGCGCAUCAGCUCAGUUGGUGGAGAGUUGUAUCAGAACUCUGAGUGCUGUUUGGAGGGUUGGAGGGUUUGCCAGUAGUUUGUUUUGGUGUGAUCCUUAAGUCAUUGCUCGAAUGUUGAGCUUCUGUCAGGUCUUGAGUCAUGGCGUAAAUGCUGAGUUUCUGUCAGGUCUUGAGUUAUAGCUUAAAUGCUGAGUUUCUGUCAGGUCUAUGUAAGUUGGCUAUAGGCAUUCAUUCGUGGAUGGCCGAGGCCGGAUGAUUUUAUCCUUAAUCUAAAAAAACAGUGAAAAAAUGGCCA